This 372-nucleotide ribosomal RNA is filed under the name uncultured organism. RNAcentral describes it as "bacterial SSU rRNA". It matches the Rfam family "Bacterial small subunit ribosomal RNA", at positions 526 to 896 of the family's 1533-position model. The record is from RNAcentral.
CGGAGGGUGCAAACGUUGCUCGGAAUCAUUGGGCGUAAAGCGAACGUAGGCGGCCUUGUAAGUCGGGUGUGAAAGCCCUCGGCUCAACCGAGGAAGUGCAUUCGAAACUGCAAGGCUGGAGUAUCGGAGAGGAUAGCGGAAUUCCCGGUGUAGAGGUGAAAUUCGUAGAUAUCGGGAGGAACACCAGUGGCGAAGGCGGCUAUCUGGACGAAUACUGACGCUGAAGUUCGAAAGCGUGGGGAGCAAACAGGAUUAGAUACCCUGGUAGUCCACGCCGUAAACGAUGAGUGCUAGGUGUCGCGGGUAUUGACCCCUGCGGUGCCGAAGUUAACGCAUUAAGCACUCCGCCUGGGGAGUACGGCCGCAAGGCUA